GAUGAACGCUGGCGGCGUGCUUAACACAUGCAAGUCGAACGAAGCACCUUGAUUCGAUUCUUCGGAUGAAGAUCUUGGUGACUGAGUGGCGGACGGGUGAGUAACGCGUGGGUAACCUGCCUCAUACAGGGGGAUAACAGUUAGAAAUGACUGCUAAUACCGCAUAAGACCACAGCACCGCAUGGUGCAGGGGUAAAAACUCCGGUGGUAUGAGAUGGACCCGCGUCUGAUUAGGUAGUUGGUGGGGUAACGGCCUACCAAGCCGACGAUCAGUAGCCGACCUGGGAGGGUGACCGGCCACAUUGGGAUUGAGACACGGCCCAAACUCCUACGGGAGGCAGCAGUGGGGAAUAUUGCACAAUGGGGGAAACCCUGAUGCAGCGACGCCGCGUGAGCGAUGAAGUAUUUCGGUAUGUAAAGCUCUAUCAGCAGGGAAGAAAAUGACGGUACCUGACUAAGAAGCACCGGCUAAAUACGUG
RNAcentral lists this ribosomal RNA (479 nucleotides) under uncultured bacterium. Its description in RNAcentral is "partial 16S ribosomal RNA". It matches the Rfam family "Bacterial small subunit ribosomal RNA", at positions 28 to 507 of the family's 1533-position model. The record is from RNAcentral.